Vicia villosa (hairy vetch) is the source of this 891-nucleotide long non-coding RNA. RefSeq lists it as uncharacterized. Lineage: Eukaryota; Viridiplantae; Streptophyta; Magnoliopsida; Fabales; Fabaceae. The record is from RefSeq and is a predicted model, not a curated record. The transcript has 4 exons.
UUCUGCUGCUUCAAAAUAUAUCUUCCCAAUGCAUACUUUUGCUGCUUCAUGUUCUUUUUCUGUCCCUUUUUUUCUCUUUCUCGAUUUCCUUCUCUUUCUCAUUCUCACCUUCAUUCAUUUUCUUCUUCUUAUUCUCUUUCUUUCUCAUUUAUUUCACUCAUCCUUCUUCUUUCCAUAUUUUAAUUUGUUGUCUUCAAAUAAAUUUGGGAAUACAUUUCAGAUUAGGCUUUUUAUAAAUUUAUCUAUUUUCUUCUUCAACUUUCAUUUUUAAUCAAUAUCUUAUUCGACCAUUUUUAACUUUUUUUUGCUUAUUCUAUUGCAGGUUAUAAAUUUGUCUUUCCCCUUGAUAUGAUGCUUUCAUUAGGUAAUCUUGCUUUGAAAAUAAAAAAGAUGGAAGCGGAAGAAAAAUAUUUGAUUUUCAAUUGAAGCUCUAAGGAGUACAUUCAUGGAGUAGUAUUGAGAUUUAGAUAAGCUUGAUAUUGAAAUUGCAACUCAUAAUUAAAUAAUUUUACAUUUAAUAUUCAUAUUCAAAUCUACAAAAAUAUUGUGGACAAACCUUUGAAUGUGCAUAGUUAUGGAGUUAUAGAGUAAUUUACAUUGUAUAAUUUUUUUGCCAUUGACCUGACUAAUAUGUAGAGAGAUUAAUGGGAGCUUGAACCAUAAUGAUAUAUGUGCAGUUGAAGAGUCUGACCUGUGUUGGAAGAAGUUUGAAGUAUAUAAAUAUGAGCUUAUUUAUCUUACUCUGAUUUUUGUUCAAAUUAUAUGUGCAUAUUGUUAUAUUAUGGAGUUGUUUGCAUUUCUGAUGUUACUCUUCUUAUCCCACAAUAUUCUGUUAUUGUGAUAGAAGAUCUCUAAAGGACGAAAUGGAAGAGAAACAAAAAAAAAGGAUAA